Molecule: ribosomal RNA, 254 nt
Filed under: uncultured bacterium
Lineage: Bacteria
Description: partial 16S ribosomal RNA
Rfam family: Bacterial small subunit ribosomal RNA
Source: RNAcentral
UACGGGGGGAGCAAGCGUUGUUCGGAUUUACUGGGCGUAAAGGGCGCGUAGGCGGUCAGCACAAGUCAGUUGUGAAAUCUCCGGGCUUAACUCGGAAAGGUCAACUGAUACUGUGCGACUAGAGUGCGGAAGGGGCAACUGGAAUUCUCGGUGUAGCGGUGAAAUGCGUAGAUAUCGGGAGGAACACCUGUGGCGAAAGCGGCUCACUGGACCACAACUGACGCUGAGGCGCGAAAGCUAGGGGAGCAAACAGG